Molecule: microRNA precursor, 173 nt
Filed under: Pelobates cultripes (western spadefoot toad)
Lineage: Eukaryota; Metazoa; Chordata; Amphibia; Anura; Pelobatidae
Source: RNAcentral
CAGCAGACACAUUCCAGCCAAUCAGCAGGUGACCCUCCCUCCCAGACCUUCCCACCUCCUGCACAGCAUCCAUUUUACAUUCAUUGUGAAGCUGCAUUCUUAGUGAGCUGUCCAGGAGGUGGGAGGGUCUGGGAGGGAGGGUCUGCUGCUGAUUGGCUGGAAUGUGUCUGCUG